GACGAACGCUGGCGGCGUGCUUAACACAUGCAAGUCGAACGGAAAGGCCCUGCUUUUGUGGGGUGCUCGAGUGGCGAACGGGUGAGUAACACGUGAGUAACCUGCCCUUGACUUUGGGAUAACUUCAGGAAACUGGGGCUAAUACCGGAUAGGAGCUCCUGCUGCAUGGUGGGGGUUGGAAAGUUUCGGCGGUUGGGGAUGGACUCGCGGCUUAUCAGCUUGUUGGUGGGGUAGUGGCUUACCAAGGCUUUGACGGGUAGCCGGCCUGAGAGGGUGACCGGCCACAUUGGGACUGAAAUGCGGCACGGACUCCAACGGGAGGCAGGAGUGGGGAAUGUUGCACAAGGGGCGGAGGCCUAAUGCAGCAACGCCGCGUGCGGGAUGACGGCCUUCGGUUUGUAAACCGCUUUCGCCUGUGACGAAGCGUGAGUGACGGUAAUGGGUAAAGAAGCACCGGCUAACUACGUG
This 468-nucleotide ribosomal RNA is filed under the name uncultured bacterium. RNAcentral describes it as "partial 16S ribosomal RNA". It matches the Rfam family "Bacterial small subunit ribosomal RNA", at positions 28 to 507 of the family's 1533-position model. The record is from RNAcentral.